Molecule: long non-coding RNA, 320 nt
Filed under: Brassica rapa (field mustard)
Lineage: Eukaryota; Viridiplantae; Streptophyta; Magnoliopsida; Brassicales; Brassicaceae
Description: long non-coding RNA (BRAP_LNC007027)
Source: RNAcentral
GAAUUCAUGCCAUUGAACUGAUGGGUUGUGUCGUUCCUUAAGCACUCUUCUUUUAAAACAUAAAACAUUUUAUAAAAAAUUUCCUUCUUUUCUUCCACUCUUUGAAAAUGCUAUGUUUUGCAUGAUUUAGGUAUUGCAUUCCAGAUUAUUGUUUCAAUGGCAUAAGUGUGAUCACUCAUUCACUCUGCAACGAAACGCCAAAAAUCCUUCCCUUUGCUUCACAAAUAUCUUCCUUAGGCAACCUAAAUAUCUUUAUUCUUUGUUGUUUUCUCACACAUCUAGAAUGCUGUGUGUUUUGUGUGAUCUAGGUUAAAUUUAAA